UACGUAGGGUGCAAGCGUUAAUCGGAAUUACUGGGCGUAAAGCGUGCGCAGGCGGUUUUGUAAGUCUGAUGUGAAAUCCCCGGGCUCAACCUGGGAAUUGCAUUGGAGACUGCAAGGCUAGAAUCUGGCAGAGGUGGGUAGAAUUCCACGUGUAGCAGUGAAAUGCGUAGAGAUGUGGAGGAACACCGAUGGCGAAGGCAGCCCCCUGGGUCAAGAUUGACGCUCAUGCACGAAAGCGUGGGGAGCAAACAGG
Molecule: ribosomal RNA, 253 nt
Filed under: uncultured bacterium
Lineage: Bacteria
Description: partial 16S ribosomal RNA
Rfam family: Bacterial small subunit ribosomal RNA
Source: RNAcentral